GACGAACGCUGGCGGCGUGCCUAAUACAUGCAAGUAGAACGCACAGUUUAUACCGUAGCUUGCUACACCAUAAACUGUGAGUUGCGAACGGGUGAGUAACGCGUAGGUAACCUGCCUGGUAGCGGGGGAUAACUAUUGGAAACGAUAGCUAAUACCGCAUAAUAUUGAUUAUUGCAUGAUAAUUGAUUGAAAGAUGCUAUUGCAUCACUACCAGAUGGACCUGCGUUGUAUUAGCUAGUAGGUGAGGUAACGGCUCACCUAGGCGACGAUACAUAGCCGACCUGAGAGGGUGAUCGGCCAAACUGGGACUGAGACACGGCCCAGAAUCCUACGGGAGGCAGCAGUAGGGAAUCUUCGGCAAUGGACGAAAGUCUGACCGAGCAACGACGCGUGAGUGAAGAAGGUUUUCGGAUCGUAAAGCUCUGUUGUAAGAGAAGAACGGGUGUGAGAGUGGAAAGUUCACACUGUGACGGUAUCUUACCAGAAAGGGACGGCUAACUACGUG
RNAcentral lists this ribosomal RNA (505 nucleotides) under uncultured bacterium. RNAcentral's name for it is "partial 16S ribosomal RNA". It matches the Rfam family "Bacterial small subunit ribosomal RNA", at positions 28 to 507 of the family's 1533-position model. The record is from RNAcentral.